UAUUUUGACAGAGUGAAGAAAACAAUAAUUAUCAGACUGAAAAAAAUAUAUUACUGAACGCUGAAGUUCAAAACGAUGUUUUCUAUCCAGUUCAUUUAACGGUUAUAGAACUCGUAAUGAUUUAAUCACACGGUCAAUAUAAUAAUAAUAAUAUUUGUAUCAAUAAAACACAGACAUUUUAUUUACAAAGCUCGUUAAUAUAAUUGUUGUUUUAAUACCCACGAAAUAAUAUAACAAUCGGUUUAUAUAGUGAGUGCACUGUGCAGUUAAGAGCGUUUCAUUUUACCGAGAUGUCGUAAAUAUAAGAGAUAAUGUUUUAUACUGGUUGUGACACGUGACUUUUUAUGUGUGUUAUUUUUAGGAAUAUUACUAAAAUGAUUUGCAUGCGCGUAUACAUAAUAAUACGAAUAUAGUCAGUAAUCAGUAUAUACAGUAUAGUACACGAUCAGUGACGCAGACAUGAUUUAUUAAAAUGGGAAGGGAUCAAUUAUCUGAGACGGCACCAUCCCUUCGUACCAUUUUUCCAAAUAUUUUGGUAGUUCUUAUUAUUAUUAUUUUUUUUGAAAUGAGUUUGAAUUGUUGUUUAAUAUUUUUCAUUGAAAAACGAAAAGCACAAUAUAUUAUUUAAUAACAACAUUUUAGAAUAAAAU
This is a non-coding RNA of Cinara cedri, 650 nucleotides long. The record is from the annotation of a GenBank genome assembly. Lineage: Eukaryota; Metazoa; Arthropoda; Insecta; Hemiptera; Aphididae.